RNAcentral lists this microRNA precursor (61 nucleotides) under Dasypus novemcinctus (nine-banded armadillo). Its description in RNAcentral is "microRNA dno-mir-3085 precursor". Lineage: Eukaryota; Metazoa; Chordata; Mammalia; Cingulata; Dasypodidae. The record is from miRBase by way of RNAcentral.
AGGUGCCAUUCCGAGGGCCAGGAGUUGGAUUAUGUGUCACUCUGGCUGCUCUGGCCCCCUC